UCCCGGUUAACCCGGGCAGUCUCACUAGAGUUCCCACCUUUACGUGUUGGCAACUAAUGAUAAGGGUUGCGCUCGUUGCGGGACUUAACCCAACACCUCACGGCACGAGCUGACGACAGCCAUGCAGCACCUGUGCAGAUGCCCCGAAGGGCCUACCUAUUUCUAGGUCAUUCAUCUGCAUGUCAAGCCUGGGUAAGGUUCUUCGCGUUGCAUCGAAUUAAACCACAUGCUCCACUGCUUGUGCGGGUCCCCGUCAAUUCUUUUGAGUUUCACCCUUGCGAGUGUACUCCCCAGGCGGUAUACUUAACGCGUUAGCUACGGCACAACCGGGGUUGAGUCCAGUUACACCAAGUAUACAUAGUUUACGGCAAGGACUAC
RNAcentral lists this unclassified non-coding RNA (378 nucleotides) under uncultured Parachlamydiaceae bacterium. RNAcentral's name for it is "contains 16S-23S intergenic spacer region". The record is from RNAcentral. Lineage: Bacteria; Pseudomonadati; Chlamydiota; Chlamydiia; Parachlamydiales; Parachlamydiaceae.